This 497-nucleotide ribosomal RNA is filed under the name uncultured bacterium. RNAcentral describes it as "partial 16S ribosomal RNA". It matches the Rfam family "Bacterial small subunit ribosomal RNA", at positions 28 to 507 of the family's 1533-position model. The record is from RNAcentral.
GAUGAACGCUGGCGGCGUGCCUAAUACAUGCAAGUCGAGCGAACAGACGAGGAGCUUGCUCCUCUGACGUUAGCGGCGGACGGGUGAGUAACACGUGGAUAACCUACCUAUAAGACUGGGAUAACUUCGGGAAACCGGAGCUAAUACCGGAUAAUAUAUUGAACGGCAUGGUUCAAUAGUGAAAGACGGUUUUGCUGUCACUUUUAGAUGGAUCCGCGCCGCAUUAGCUAGUUGGUAAGGUAACGGCUUACCAAGGCAACGAUGCGUAGCCGACCUGAGAGGGUGAUCAGCCACACUGGAACUGAGACACGGUCCAGACUCCUACGGGAGGCAGCAGUAGGGAAUCUUCCGCAAUGGGCGAAAGCCUGACGGAGCAACGCCGCGUGAGUGAUGAAGGUCUUCGGAUCGUAAAACUCUGUUAUUAGGGAAGAACAAAUGUGUAAGUAACUAUGCACGUCUUGACGGUACCUAAUCAGAAAGCCACGGCUAACUACGUG